This 305-nucleotide ribosomal RNA is filed under the name uncultured bacterium. RNAcentral's name for it is "bacterial SSU rRNA". It matches the Rfam family "Bacterial small subunit ribosomal RNA", at positions 338 to 640 of the family's 1533-position model. The record is from RNAcentral.
CCUACGGGAGGCAGCAGUGAGGAAUAUUGGUCAAUGGGCGGGAGCCUGAACCAGCCAAGUCGCGUGAGGGAAGACGGUCCUAUGGAUUGUAAACCUCUUUUGUCGGGGAGCAAAGAGAUCACGUGUGGUCAAAAGCGAGAGUACCCGAAGAAAAAGCAUCGGCUAACUCCGUGCCAGCAGCCGCGGUAAUACGGAGGAUGCGAGCGUUAUCCGGAUUUAUUGGGUUUAAAGGGUGCGCAGGCGGCGAGUUAAGUCAGCGGUAAAAUUUCGGGGCUCAACCCCGACGAGCCGUUGAAACUGGCUUG